This 495-nucleotide ribosomal RNA is filed under the name Bacillus cereus. RNAcentral's name for it is "bacterial SSU rRNA". It matches the Rfam family "Bacterial small subunit ribosomal RNA", at positions 108 to 588 of the family's 1533-position model. The record is from RNAcentral. Lineage: Bacteria; Bacillati; Bacillota; Bacilli; Caryophanales; Bacillaceae.
GAGUAACACGUGGGUAACCUGCCCAUAAGACUGGGAUAACUCCGGGAAACCGGGGCUAAUACCGGAUAACAUUUUGAACCGCAUGGUUCGAAAUUGAAAGGCGGCUUCGGCUGUCACUUAUGGAUGGACCCGCGUCGCAUUAGCUAGUUGGUGAGGUAACGGCUCACCAAGGCAACGAUGCGUAGCCGACCUGAGAGGGUGAUCGGCCACACUGGGACUGAGACACGGCCCAGACUCCUACGGGAGGCAGCAGUAGGGAAUCUUCCGCAAUGGACGAAAGUCUGACGGAGCAACGCCGCGUGAGUGAUGAAGGCUUUCGGGUCGUAAAACUCUGUUGUUAGGGAAGAACAAGUGCUAGUUGAAUAAGCUGGCACCUUGACGGUACCUAACCAGAAAGCCACGGCUAACUACGUGCCAGCAGCCGCGGUAAUACGUAGGUGGCAAGCGUUAUCCGGAAUUAUUGGGCGUAAAGCGCGCGCAGGUGGUUUCUUAAGU